AUGGAAGGGCUCAUACACUGGGACUUCAACCCCGGCCUCAAGGUCGAGGACCAGGUUCGUAGGCGUUUUAGAUCCACGGUUCAUUUCUCCCCUGCUUCUUCCUCCAAGGAGUUCUUCUUGGUGGUCACGUUUUCUUCUACCUCCUUCCCUUUGUCACGUGCUUCGGUUGGAUUGGCUUUAUAGUGCUGCAUUGGU
This 195-nucleotide ribosomal RNA is filed under the name Triticum aestivum (bread wheat). RNAcentral describes it as "partial small subunit ribosomal RNA". Lineage: Eukaryota; Viridiplantae; Streptophyta; Magnoliopsida; Poales; Poaceae. The record is from RNAcentral.